Molecule: ribosomal RNA, 256 nt
Filed under: uncultured microorganism
Description: partial 16S ribosomal RNA
Rfam family: Archaeal small subunit ribosomal RNA
Source: RNAcentral
GCGCAGCAGGCGAGAAAACUUCACACUGUGCGAAAGCACGAUGAGGGAAUCCCAAGUGCUUGCACGUAAGUGUAAGCUGUUUCUCUGUCUAAAACGCAGAGAGAGUAAGGGCUGGGUAAGACGGGUGCCAGCCGCCGCGGUAAUACCUGCAGCUCAAGUGGUGACCGUUAUUAUUGGGGCCUAAAAACGUCCGUAGCCGGUUUAAUAAAUGCCUGGGUAAAUUGUGUAGCUUAACUAUACGAAUUCCGGGUAGACU